UAUAUGUAUACUUGAGGUUUCUCUUUAACAUCUUAAAAAUCCCUGUUUCUUUCAUUUUGUAUUUUCUGCUAGGUAAUUCUGUUCCACAGGAUAUCUGCUGUAUGGCAGCUGAUGGCAGAUUAGUCUUUGCUGCUUAUGGAAAUGUUUUCUCUGCAUUUGCCCGUAAUAAAGAGAUAGUACAUACCUUUAAGGGUCAUAAGGCAGAAAUCCAUCUCUUGCAACCCUUUGGAGACCACAUUAUCUCUGUUGAUACUGACAGCAUUCUUAUUAUUUGGCACAUAUAUUCAGAAGAAGAAUACCUGCAGUUGACUUUUGAUAAAUCAGUAUUUAAAAUUUCUGCAAUUUUGCAUCCAAGUACCUACUUGAAUAAAAUACUUCUGGGCAGUGAACAAGGAAGCCUGCAGUUGUGGAAUGUAAAAUCCAAUAAACUUCUAUAUACAUUUCCAGGAUGGAAAGUUGGAGUGACAGCUCUUCAGCAGGCACCAGCCGUGGAUGUUGUUGCUAUUGGUCUUAUGUCAGGUCAAGUUAUCAUUCAUAACAUUAAAUUUAAUGAA
This 554-nucleotide small RNA is filed under the name Pongo abelii (Sumatran orangutan). RNAcentral's name for it is "retained intron". The record is from RNAcentral. Lineage: Eukaryota; Metazoa; Chordata; Mammalia; Primates; Hominidae.